Molecule: ribosomal RNA, 696 nt
Filed under: uncultured bacterium
Lineage: Bacteria
Description: bacterial SSU rRNA
Rfam family: Bacterial small subunit ribosomal RNA
Source: RNAcentral
UAACACGUAGGGAACCUGCCUGCAUGAGCGGGAGAACUUCUGGAAACGGAAGCUGAUACCGGAUGAGCAAAGAGGAGGCAUCUUCUUUUUGGAAAAGGGGACAAGAGUCCCGCAUGCAGAUGGACCUGCGGUGCAUUAGCUGGUUGGAGAGGUAACGGCUCACCAAGGCGACGAUGCAUAGCCGGCCUGAGAGGGCGGACGGCCACACUGGGACUGGGACACGGCCCAGACUCCUGCGGGAGGCAGCAGUAGGGAAUUUUCGUCAAUGGGGGGAACCCUGAACGAGCAAUGCCGCGUGAGCGAGGAAGGUCUUCGGAUCGUAAAGCUCUGUUGCCGGGGACAAAAGGCAGAAAGAGUGGAAAGCUUUCUGAGUGAUGGUACCCGGCGAGGAAGUCACGGCUAACUACGUGCCAGCAGCCGCGGUAAUACGUAGGUGGCGAGCGUUAUCCGGAAUGAUUGGGCGUAAAGGGUGCGCAGGCGGCCGGGCAAGUCCGCAGUAAAAACUGGAGGCUCAACCUUCAGGGGCUGCGGAAACUGUCCGGCUGGAGAGCAGGAGAGGACGGUGGAACUCCAUGUGUAGCGGUAAAAUGCGUAGAUAUAUGGAAGAACACCGGUGGCGAAGGCGGCCGUCUGGCCUGCAUCUGACGCUGAGGCACGAAAGCGUGGGGAGCAAAUAGGAUUAGAUACCCUAGUAGU